UUUUGUAAUUAAAAUAUUAAUGAGGGGAAUCAGGGUAGUGAGAAAAUGUUGAAGAUACAUAUAUAUUAUGCGUGUAUGUACACACACACACACACACAUCUUUCUAAAAAGAACUUAAAAAGAACUCCAAAUAGUACCUUCUACAUGGUAACAAACAAACGAUUGAUCACCAGUAAUAAUCAAGAUUGUGGGUAGCAAACACACCCUCCAGUGUCAGGAGCUCAGUUAGUGUGUCUAACAAGCCACCUGGUUGUCCAAAAAUAUGUUUUGUGAACAUGUAGAAUAAUUUUGAAAUAGAGUAAUUAAUGAUGUAUAUUCCAUAUGACUCCAAUUCCUGCACACACAAAAAAACAUUAUUAUAAAGAUUAGAAAGAAAACUGUUUUAAAGGUUAAAGAAAUCAGUAAAAGGUGUUCAACAAAAUAUUUGUUUUCAUUUUGAGGUAGGAAGCUAUAGACUUCACAUUCUUGAUCAUAUUCUUUAGCUUCCCACAAGGAAAUAUUGACUAUUCUACAGCAUAUUUUGUAGCAUUAAUAGCAUUAUAUCUAUAGUUGAUAUGUUAAAAAUAUCAAUUUUAGUUGAUUAGUUAAAAUUCAUAAUUUAGUAAUUAUUGGUUUGAAAUAACAAAGCUUUCAUGUUAAGUUCUAUACUAUUUCACAAGCCUGUAGAAGUACGCCACCUAGUGUUUACCUUUUUUAAAUUCUAGAACCCGCAGGCUAGGUUGGUAUUAUUUUUUUAUUAUUUUAAAAUUUAUUUAUUCACUUUACAACCCCCUAUCAGCCCUUGAUCUCUCCUCAUUCCAACUUCCCCUUCUCUCUGGAGAAGCCCCUGCACAUCAAGUCACGGCAGGACUUGUCCCAUCUUCUCCCACUGAGGACAGACAAGGAAGUCCAUUUAGGGGCAGUUGAUGUUAUUUUAAACUACAAAAUGUGGUCAUGAUUUAUUCAAAUCAAUCCAGAGGUUAAAAUAAUUGUGGAACAUUGUUAUAUAUGUGCUCUAGCUUUUUGACAUCAGACUUUCCUAAAGUUGUUAUAUAUUUGAUGGAUGUUUUUCUUAUUUGAUUAUCCCAAUUCAGCAAUUCACUUAACAUGCCAACUUGUAGUAAAUAAGAAAUUAAGUUCAAGAGUUACAAGUUUUAAAGCCUUAGGAUUAAUUUGAAUAUAUGAUUAUUAGUUAAAUAAUGUGAAUAAAUCAAUACUUAUGUGUAUGUCUAACAAGGGCAGCGUCAUUUAUCCUUGGUGUGUUCAUUGAGUUUAUAAGUGUAAUUGUAUUAAUUGAGGUCCUAGUCAUUGAAUAUUGUCUGAUGAUGGAAAUUUGCAUUUUGGAUGCACAUUAGCCUGUAUUCCAGUAGGAAACAUUUUCAAAUGUUAAUACAAAUGUAAAUUUAAAACCCUUUGAUUUGAUCCCUGUGGCUUUUCAAGUAGUCUUGUGGUUUAAAUCUGGAAUAGUACCAUAGGCUCAUGUGUUUGAACACUUGGUGGCCAGUCGAUGCUGCUGCUGCUUUACAAGUUCUUGGAACCUGUAGAGGGGAGCACUUGGAACCUGGAGGAAGUGCUUGUCUUGGGGCAAGACUUGAGAUUCCAUAGACAGGAUCCCUUGCUCACCACCCUCUGCUUCAUAAUCAUUUAGGCAGUGUUACCUCAUGUUCCUGCUGGCAUGCCUUUGCUGUGAUAGACUGUAUUCAUUUCUAAAGCAUGAACAUAAAAAAAAAUU
Molecule: long non-coding RNA, 1711 nt
Filed under: Mus musculus (house mouse)
Lineage: Eukaryota; Metazoa; Chordata; Mammalia; Rodentia; Muridae
Description: long non-coding RNA chr15:43531500-43533211
Source: RNAcentral